GACGAACGCUGGCGGCGUGCCUAAUACAUGCAAGUAGAACGCACAGUUUAUACCGUAGCUUGCUACACCAUAGACUGUGAGUUGCGAACGGGUGAGUAACGCGUAGGUAACCUGCCUGGUAGCGGGGGAUAACUAUUGGAAACGAUAGCUAAUACCGCAUAAUAUUAAUUAUUGCAUGAUAAUUAAUUGAAAGGUGCAAUUGCACCACUACCAGAUGGACCUGCGUUGUAUUAGCUAGUAGGUGAGGUAACGGCUCACCUAGGCGACGAUACAUAGCCGACCUGAGAGGGUGAUCGGCCACACUGGGACUGAGACACGGCCCAGACUCCUACGGGAGGCAGCAGUAGGGAAUCUUCGGCAAUGGACGAAAGUCUGACCGAGCAACGCCACGUGAGUGAAGAAGGUUUUCGGAUCGUAAAGCUCUGUUGUAAGAGAAGAACGGGUGUGAGAGUGGAAAGUUCACACUGUGACGGAAUCUUACCAGAAAGGGGCGGCUAACUACGUG
This 505-nucleotide ribosomal RNA is filed under the name uncultured bacterium. Its description in RNAcentral is "partial 16S ribosomal RNA". It matches the Rfam family "Bacterial small subunit ribosomal RNA", at positions 28 to 507 of the family's 1533-position model. The record is from RNAcentral.